AAUAUGUGUAACCAUGAGUUUCCGCGCCCAACUUUGAUCGUCAUCUUAUUUGAAAUUUUUUUUUAUAAUUAGUAUUUUUAUUGUUAUAAGAUGAUAAAACAUGAAUAGUACUUUACUCGUGACUUAUGCUUUUAAUUUUUUUCAAAAAAUUUUCAAAUAAGACGAAUGGUCAAAGUUUGACGCGGAAAACCAUGGCUGCACUUAUU
Oryza sativa Japonica Group (Japanese rice) is the source of this 206-nucleotide microRNA precursor. It matches the Rfam family "MIR812 microRNA precursor family". The record is from Rfam. NCBI's taxonomy places the organism in Eukaryota, Viridiplantae, Streptophyta, Magnoliopsida, Poales, Poaceae.